Molecule: ribosomal RNA, 716 nt
Filed under: uncultured bacterium
Lineage: Bacteria
Description: bacterial SSU rRNA
Rfam family: Bacterial small subunit ribosomal RNA
Source: RNAcentral
AUACAGGGGGAUAACACUUAGAAAUAGGUGCUAAUACCGCAUAAGCGCACGGUUCCGCAUGGAACAGUGUGAAAAACUCCGGUGGUAUACGAUGGAUCCGCGUCUGAUUAGCCAGUUGGCGGGGUAACGGCCCACCAAAGCGACGAUCAGUAGCCGGCCUGAGAGGGUGAACGGCCACAUUGGGACUGAGACACGGCCCAAACUCCUACGGGAGGCAGCAGUGGGGAAUAUUGCACAAUGGGGGAAACCCUGAUGCAGCGACGCCGCGUGAGUGAAGAAGUAUUUCGGUACGUAAAGCUCUAUCAGCAGGGAAGAAAAUGACGGUACCUGACUAAGAAGCCCCGGCUAACUACGUGCCAGCAGCCGCGGUAAUACGUAGGGGGCAAGCGUUAUCCGGAUUUACUGGGUGUAAAGGGAGCGUAGACGGCAGCGCAAGUCUGGAGUGAAAUGCCGGGGCCCAACCCCGGAACUGCUUUGGAAACUGUGCAGCUCGAGUGCAGGAGAGGUAAGCGGAAUUCCUAGUGUAGCGGUGAAAUGCGUAGAUAUUAGGAGGAACACCAGUGGCGAAGGCGGCUUACUGGACUGUAACUGACGUUGAGGCUCGAAAGCGUGGGGAGCAAACAGGAUUAGAUACCCUGGUAGUCCACGCCGUAAACGAUGAUUACUAGGUGUCGGGGGGCCAAGGCCCUCCGGUGCCGCCGCAAACGCAUUAAGUA